CUACGUCAUAGGUAACAAGUAGCCCAUUGUGACAAGGAGGUUUGACUCUGCCUGGAGUUGCACAGGGUAGCAGUGAUCUUACUGAUCCAAUUGCAGAAGAAAAUACAAGGCAAGUAUGUUGGGGAGAAACUAUAUAAUGCUACAAGAAGGAAUUGGCUUUCAUCUAUUGUGGAGCUAUGUCAUAUUGAUACUGCUUCAUAGCGUCAAUUCAAGUUUUACAUCACCAACUCCUGCUUCAGAAAAAAAUGAAGUGGCAGGCAGCAACUUUGUCACGAAAGUGAAAGGUGCAUCUAACGCGUUUUUAAACCUCUUCAGGCCAGUGACUUGCCGAUACAAAGAAAGGCACACCUUAGUCCCUUGUCGUGCAGGAGGGAACAUUAAUGCAACAAAGUGCUUGGAAAAUAGAUGUUGUCCUUCCAAAGGCAGGCAUCAACUGGAAUGUUAUGUCCCAUUUAAAGACAAUCUGCAGCUGGCACUUCGACUGUUUCUGGUUGGGGCACUUGGAUGUAUAAUUUUGGGUUGUGUACCAUUAUUUUGCUGUGCCUGGCUUCAGAAGAGUCCAUGUAUCAAUCCUUUACGAAGUGCAAACAUAACAAUAGAACAAAUUGUGAAGAACAAGAGAGCAAAUAGUGAAGAAAUGCGUAGCUUGUUAUCAAAUUGACCUAAAGGCUUUGAGGAGCAUAAACACAAAAGAAAGAUCCAGGUGAAGCAGAUGAACCUGAUUAUUAGGCCACUGACCCUGAGUGAAAGGAAGUUAGAGAACAAGAGAUGAGAGCAGAAGCAGCCUGGGAUAUUCAGAGUUAACGAGGACAGCAAAUAAGAUGAGCAUACGUCCUCACAAGCUGGGAGAUCUUUUCAAACCAGACUUCUGGCCUGGCUGCACAAGUGUCACUGGUGCCUUGCCUUUGCAGAUCAUGGUGUCCACAUCUGUUACCCUCAAAAUAAAGAUGUUUUUCCUCAUGUUCAUGUGGAACUUCCAGUGUUUCACGUUGUGCCCACUGCUCUUUGUUCUGUCACCACUGAAAAGAGCCUGGUCUCAUCCACUUCACUCACUCAAUAUCUACAUGCAUUAUAUGGUCCCGUCAGUCUUCCCUUCUCCAGGCUGAACUUUGUAGGUUUGAUUAAUUCUAUAUAGGAAUGCAUAAUUGGACACAGAUUCAAUUCUGAUUUGUGAGUGAGAUCAGCAGUUAUGCAUACAGGGCUACUCUUCCUUUUUUUUCCCCCCUUCCACUACUCAGCUCAUAUUAUAGAACUCCUUUAGCUUAUGCCACAACACACACAAUAGGACACUAUGCCUUAGUCUGCAAUUUCUAAGUGAGAAUAAUGAGCUCCUUUAUCUUGCAGGGAAACUGUGAAAAUAAGUCAAAUAAUGUAUUGCAAAUGGUCUGAUACUGCUCUGACAAACACAAAGAAAUAAUGCAGUUUUAGAAGUUGGUCUAAAUAAUAUGCAAAAAAAUAAGGCUCUACACUGGUAAUGAACAGUGACAGAAGGAAAAAUUAUUGAAUCGUUGCUCAUUUAGUGAACGUGAUUCCUGCUGUGCACUGGAUGAAAUUGGUCCCGUGGGGAAAAUAGAAAGACUACAAUAAUUCUUACAAAAGGAGGAAUGAGUUAUGGUCACAGAAGCAAGCUGAAAUUUAGCAUUUUCUCACUUUUGAGUGAUGUGUGACCACUGAAAGAUAUUUCAGAAAAAUUGUGUAAGGAUAUUUUAUUAAGGUGAUGGUACAUCUUUUGAAUAGCGAGUGGAAUAUGUUACCAUUCUGUUUUGGAACACUGACCUAAUACCUACUGGAGGUGUCAGUAGAGAGAACUGCCUGAAGUCUCUUCAACUUAUAGAAGCAAACCAGGCAGCUUGCUUUCAUCUUCUGUGUGGGGGAAUGUGAGCAUUCUCAUGAGGAAUGGGAGCUCCUAACCUGGUAGAAGAGGGAGCCUAUGAUGUGGAAGUCACUGUAGCCAGGUGGGUAGUUGGUGGUAUCCCUAUUGUGGAAUAAAGCA
Coturnix japonica (Japanese quail) is the source of this 1993-nucleotide non-coding RNA. The record is from RefSeq and is a predicted model, not a curated record. Lineage: Eukaryota; Metazoa; Chordata; Aves; Galliformes; Phasianidae.